UCCGUAGGUGGCAAGCGUUACUCGGAAUCACUAGGCGUAAAGCGCAGGUAGGCGGAUCGGUAAGUCCUUUGUGAAAGCUCCCGGCUUAACUGGGAGAGGUCAAGGGAAACUACCGGACUAGAGUGUGGUAGGGGGUGCUGGAAUUCCCGGUGUAGCGGUGAAAUGCGUAGAGAUCGGGAGGAAUACCUAUGGCGAAAGCAGGCACCUGGGCCAUCACUGACGCUGAGCUGCGAAAGCUAGGGGAGCAAACAGG
Molecule: ribosomal RNA, 253 nt
Filed under: uncultured bacterium
Lineage: Bacteria
Description: partial 16S ribosomal RNA
Rfam family: Bacterial small subunit ribosomal RNA
Source: RNAcentral